UGGUGCUCCGGGAAAUAGAGAGUUGGGCAGAGUUCCCAUCCUGUGGAGCUUGCAGUUGGAAAAAUCCUCUACACACCAAGAAGGUUGGCAGAGUAGCAGUUGAUCCACAGUGGGAGCCCAGAGGGGGAAGGAAACAACUAGCAAGCCAUUCCAGAAGUGCUGUGUGGUAUUUGGAGAGUUAGGUACCAGCUGCAGCACAGAUUUCCAGAGGUUUCAGCUGAGUGAGGAGAGGGCUGUGGGCUCAGGAGACAAAAGGGAGGCACUGCUUGUGGAAAAGUAACCCCUUUCAGACCUGUGAACACAAAGUGAGGCUGAGCAAAUCCAUUGCUCUGCAGACCUGGAGAUGCUGUGCCUGGUGCAGAGCUGAAGAGAUGAAGAGAUGUUUGGGGCAUUCCUGGGCUGGGGCUGGAGGAGCAGAAGUGAAAGACAAGACAGCUGUGGUGGGGAGCAGGAUUCAUUCCCCGGCUCCCUGUCUGCUCUCCGUGGCCUUCUCGGGCGCCGCCAAGCAGGUGCCUGUGGGCUGAAUUGCAGUGGGUGUUGCACAAGGAGCUGCAGGCUGGUGGAAAGGCUCCAGGGAGCCAGCUCCAGCCUACGGACUGGAGCUUUGACUCCCUUCGUCUAGACACUCUCACGGGAUUACCUCAGCAAUAAUUUGUCAGCCUCUAUUUAUUUUCCAGCGGCAUGGUUAGUAUUUACUGGUGCUGAGAUUCUCCUCACACUCUUCCAUAGUUUUUCAUGCAAGAGGCACUUUGGGCAGAACAACUUCCUAGAGCAUCAUUUCCAUGGGUUUUUGAAUAAUAGUAGAGAUACUCAUGCUUAGGAGAAGGAAAUGUACCUAAUGUAUGGAUGUUUACAUCCAUAUCCCUCUAAGGGGCAAGAAUAUCUCUUGUGUGUAUUUUGAAAGCAUCAAAUAUUUUAGUCAGAAUUGUACAUAAUCAUAUGUGUUCAUCAGGCUUGAGAAUAAUGUCUGAGCACACUUUGCUGUCACUUUAGGAAAAAAAUUCUUUCAGUCUCAAAACCAUUUAUUUGUCACAAUCCCAGUUUUUUACACAGCAAACCUACCACUUUCAGGUACAGUAAAUUUACACACAAUCCAUGGGGAAUGUAUCCAUAGCCCAAUUUUAAA
Serinus canaria (Common canary) is the source of this 1126-nucleotide long non-coding RNA. RefSeq lists it as uncharacterized. The transcript is spliced from 3 exons. The record is from RefSeq and is a predicted model, not a curated record. NCBI's taxonomy places the organism in Eukaryota, Metazoa, Chordata, Aves, Passeriformes, Fringillidae.